CAACUUGUGGGAGCUUGUUUCAUGGGAAUGAAGAGUAUCACUAUUUGUUUUUCAAUUUGUGCCUACAAGUCAUAAUUGAUGUCAAGAACAGUUCGGAAGCAUCUUGCCCCAGCAGCAGCUCGAGUCACUGGGCUUCACCGCCUUAUGAAGUGCAAUGGGAUCAUAUAUGUAUUUUCAUACAAUGACAACGUGUAGCAAGAGAAAAAAAUCUUCAUGUGUAUCCAGACCAUCAGCAUAAAGCCUGCAUCAUGAGUGAUUCAGAAUCUCAUUCUGAGGGGCAUGUGACUCACAACGUUGGAGUAAAAUGGGAAGGAAGAUGUCCAGGUACCUUUAAGACCAGCAAGCCUGGCACCUCCUCCACAUA
Molecule: long non-coding RNA, 364 nt
Organism: Alligator sinensis (Chinese alligator)
Lineage: Eukaryota; Metazoa; Chordata; Crocodylia; Alligatoridae
Exons: 3
Source: RefSeq, a predicted model, not a curated record